CAUUUUUAUCUCUUAGUAGUAAUAUUUAAAAAAAGCUAGAUCUGAUUGUGAGCUUUCUAAUAAGCUAUAGCAUAUAAAAAAUGGAAUUGUGAAGAGGGAGAUUCAAUCAAAUUUGUAGAAGGAGGUUGCUAGAGUUUUUGGACAACAAAUUUCAAGGCUCCUUUGGAAUUUUCUAUGUUAUUUAUUGGACUUUAAAAAAAAAAAAAAUUCUCAAUGAAUUAAAAUUUAGUUAGAUUGAGUUAUUAAUAAGUAAAUUAUAGAUAUUUUAGUGAAAGGAGGUUUGGAUUUGAGAUUGGAAUUAAGAAUUGGAUGCAUCUUAGUACAAGAAAGAAAUUAAUCUAUAAAUUGUAACUAGCUUUUGAGCUACUUUUUAUAUUUGAUUUCAUUUGAGAUAACAUUUUACCUUCUUGUAACCUACUUGUAAUCAAAGACCUUGUGUUUUCCUGAGGAGGCUUAUGCUCUUUACAAAAAUUUGGAACUUCUACUAAAAGCAUCAU
This 497-nucleotide long non-coding RNA is filed under the name Physcomitrium patens. RNAcentral describes it as "long non-coding RNA (PPAT_LNC014601)". The record is from RNAcentral. Lineage: Eukaryota; Viridiplantae; Streptophyta; Bryopsida; Funariales; Funariaceae.